UUUGACCUUUAAUUGUUUAUUUUAAUUCAAGUAUUAUUUUAAUUCUCAAAAAUACCAAAAAUAUUUUAUUUGUUUCUUGACCUUUAAACUUCAUCUUACUUCUGUUUACCAUUGAUUGACUUUGACUCUAUUCAUGUUUGAUCAAUGUGUGUUGGAUAUUUCAUUUGAAUUUCCAUUUAUGUACAUUCUUAUUCUUCUUCUUCUUCAUCUUUUUU
RNAcentral lists this long non-coding RNA (215 nucleotides) under Lathyrus oleraceus (garden pea). RNAcentral describes it as "Pisum sativum (pea) long non-coding RNA (PSAT_LNC007644)". Lineage: Eukaryota; Viridiplantae; Streptophyta; Magnoliopsida; Fabales; Fabaceae. The record is from RNAcentral.